CGGCAUGCCUUACACAUGCAAGUCGAACGGUAACAGGUCUUCGGAUGCUGACGAGUGGCGAACGGGUGAGUAAUACAUCGGAACGUGCCCAGUAAUGGGGGAUAGCUCGGCGAAAGCCGGAUUAAUACCGCAUACGCCCUGAGGGGGAAAGUGGGGGAUCGCAAGACCUCACGUUAUUGGAGCGGCCGAUGGCUGAUUAGCUAGUUGGUAGGGUAAAGGCCUACCAAGGCGACGAUCAGUAGCUGGUCUGAGAGGACGAUCAGCCACACUGGGACUGAGACACGGCCCAGACUCCUACGGGAGGCAGCAGUGGGGAAUUUUGGACAAUGGGGGAAACCCUGAUCCAGCAAUGCCGCGUGUGCGAAGAAGGCCUUCGGGUUGUAAAGCACUUUUGUCAGGGAAGAAAUCCUUUGGGCUAAUACCCUAGGGGGAUGACGGUACCUGAAGAAUAAGCACCGGCUAACUACGUGCCAGCAGCCGCGGUAAUACGUAGGGUGCAAGCGUUAAUCGGAAUUACUGGGCGUAAAGCGUGCGCAGGCGGUUGUGUAAGACAGGUGUGAAAUCCCCGGGCUUAACCUGGGAAUCGCAUUUGUGACUGCACGACUAGAGUGUGUCAGAGGGGGGUGGAAUUCCACGUGUAGCAGUGAAAUGCGUAGAUAUGUGGAGGAACACCAAUGGCGAAGGCAGCCCCCUGGGAUAACACUGACGCUCAUGCACGAAAGCGUGGGGAGCAAACAGGAUUAGAUACCCUGGUAGUCCACGCCCUAAACGAUGUCAACUAGUUGUUGGGGAUUUACUUCCUUGGUAACGUAGCUAACGCGUGAAGUUGACCGCCUGGGGAGUACGGCCGCAAGGUUAAAACUCAAAGGAAUUGACGGGGACCCGCACAAGCGGUGGAUGAUGUGGAUUAAUUCGAUGCAACGCGAAAAACCUUACCUACCCUUGACAUGGCAGGAACUUUCCAGAGAUGGAUUGGUGCUCGAAAGAGAACCUGCACACAGGUGCUGCAUGGCUGUCGUCAGCUCGUGUCGUGAGAUGUUGGGUUAAGUCCCGCAACGAGCGCAACCCUUGUCAUUAGUUGCUACGAAAGGGCACUCUAAUGAGACUGCCGGUGACAAACCGGAGGAAGGUGGGGAUGACGUCAAGUCCUCAUGGCCCUUAUGGGUAGGGCUUCACACGUCAUACAAUGGUCGGUACAGAGGGUUGCCAAGCCGCGAGGUGGAGCCAAUCCCAGAAAACCGAUCGUAGUCCGGAUCGCAGUCUGCAACUCGACUGCGUGAAGUCGGAAUCGCUAGUAAUCGCGGAUCAGAAUGCCGCGGUGAAUACGUUCCCGGGUCUUGUACACACCGCCCGUCACACCAUGGGAGUGGGUUCUACCAGAAGUGGCUAGUCUAACCGCAAGGAGGACGGUCACCACGGUAGGAUUCAUGACUGG
RNAcentral lists this ribosomal RNA (1435 nucleotides) under uncultured organism. RNAcentral's name for it is "SSU rRNA". It matches the Rfam family "Bacterial small subunit ribosomal RNA". The record is from RNAcentral.